Molecule: ribosomal RNA, 253 nt
Filed under: uncultured bacterium
Lineage: Bacteria
Description: partial 16S ribosomal RNA
Rfam family: Bacterial small subunit ribosomal RNA
Source: RNAcentral
UACGAAGGGGGCUAGCGUUGCUCGGAAUCACUUGGCGUAAAGCGCACGUAGGCGGAUCUUUAAGUCAGGGGUGAAAUCCUGGAGCUCAACUCCAGAACUGCCUUUGAUACUGGGGAUCUCGAGUCCGGGAGAGGUGAGUGGAACUGCGAGUGUAGAGUUGAAAUUCGUAGAUAUUCGCAAGAACACCAGUGGCGAAGGCGGCUCACUGGCCCGGUACUGACGCUGAGGUGCGAAAGCGUGGGGAGCAAACAGG